RNAcentral lists this long non-coding RNA (882 nucleotides) under Ananas comosus (pineapple). RNAcentral's name for it is "long non-coding RNA (ACOM_LNC014308)". The record is from RNAcentral. Lineage: Eukaryota; Viridiplantae; Streptophyta; Magnoliopsida; Poales; Bromeliaceae.
AACCACCAAUUCCAUAUAUUAGUUUAAAGGAAUAAUUACUUAUAUGCCCCUCAUAUGUUUGAAAAUAUUUAAAUUUUUUUAAAAUAUUUCUCAUAUGUUCCAUCGGUAUUAUAAAAUAUUUUCGCAGUUAUCUUCUAUUAAGUUAACUUAGACUAAACGUGAAUUAAAUAUUUACCACAGUUUAAAAAAAUUAAAAUGUCAAUUUUGCCCUUAACUUAAAGACAAAUAAAAAAUGUUGGUGACGGUAUAUUGAAAAAAAUUAAAAGUCAAAAUACUUUCUGUGUCCCUGGCUUUAAGGGCAAAUAAGAAAGUCAAUGAUGGUGGAAAGGUAUAUUUAAAAGGACAAAAUAAUAAUUUUACAGAGAUAAUAGAGUUAAUUAACAGAUUUUAACUCUAAGAAUAUAUUAGAAAUAGGUUAGAACGUAGAAAGGAUAUUUUCAAUAUUAGCCUUCUAAGAGAGAUAAAUCGAAAAGUCGAAAACUUUUUAAGAGUAUAUAAGCAAUUGCCCCUAGUUUAAAUUACUCCAAUGGACAUGAUUUAUAGAACUCAAGAGUUCAAUUAUGCUUCUUUUAAAAGUACAAAAUUUUAAUACUUAUAAAAUUUUUGUCAUUAGAUUUUUUUAAUUAUUUUUAUUUAUUAAAUUAUAUUAUUCAACGAACCAUUCACUCAAUUACAGAGAACCACUUUUAUUAUAACCGUACAUUUCUUAAUUUAAUAACCGAAAACCUAUAAGUAUUAAUGGCUUGAUACUUAAAAAGAUAUAAGAACUCAAUUAUUAUAUAUAUAGAGAGAGAAAGAGAUAUGAGCUGGAAUACUAUUAAUAGUAUUUGAAAUUUUUUAUUAUUAAUUAUUUAGCUGUUAGAUCUAUACUUUAAUCAUAUC